Long non-coding RNA from Amphibalanus amphitrite, 1173 nucleotides. RefSeq lists it as uncharacterized. Lineage: Eukaryota; Metazoa; Arthropoda; Thecostraca; Balanomorpha; Balanidae. The transcript has 3 exons. The record is from RefSeq and is a predicted model, not a curated record.
GCCGGAUCCGUGUGUGCAGGGGGAGUCGCGUGCUGCAAGUUAAGAGUCCCAGCACCUCUGUCGAUGCGGAGGUCACGGCCGCCACCGCCGACCCCGACGAGGGCACCAGCGCGAGCGGGCCGCCGGCGAUGGACAUUGAGGAGAGCUGGCUCGUUAUCGACGAUGCAGUCGACCACCUGCUGCACCGCGCUGGCGAGCACGGAGCUGUGUUUCAGCCAUCCCCAGUACCCAUGGCCGCAAGUUCGAGCUGGCAUGCUCUACGUGGAGAAUGAGACGGUUGUCGAGUUCAAAGAGCUAACCUCGGCGGUCGACUUAAGUGACCAGCUGCCGGGACAGAGACUGACCAGCAGAGUUCUGUUGAUGCCUCAUACUUUUCUCUGUUUGUUUCUGUUUUCUGUUCCUCAAGUUUUUGUCAUUAUAACUAGUUGCAGUUGAAUUAGCUUGUUGCAGUUCGUUUAUAUUUUGCUGCAGGGUGUCCCUUAAGUCUUAACCGUAGAGACGUGAAACGUUGGACGCUAAUGAAUGAGAUACAAUACAAGGCACUUUGAUGUAAAGCACAGGCAGAGCUUUGGAGUCGGAAAUGUAUCAGUUAACCAAACCAUUGAAACUGUGUUUGCGUAUGACUAUUGAAACUGCGUCUUUCACAUGCUGGUUGCACGACCUUUCUAUAGAAUAAGAAAUAACAUAAUCGCACAUAAGACUGUGAAAUAGAAAGCUGCUUGGUAUAAUAGGUCCGUGUCCUCCUUAUGAUGGGUUCCUAUAGCUGGUCUGGUCUUGCAAACAGCUAUAAUCAUUGAGCGUUACCGUCCACAAUAGGUUGUCCAGCUUGCUUGUUCGUAUGUGCAUGAAAUACAGAUUUAACUUUGCUGUUCUCUUGACUUGUCAUUCGUUCUAAACAGUACAAAAUGAGCGCAGGGUUAUUAUUUUGUCAAUUUUAUGUCGCCCAUGGCAUGACAAUAGGUAUCCACGCACUUGUCGUUUUACAAAUCAUUCGAUAUCUUGUUGAUUGUUCCUAUAAAACGACCACGUUUCUGUGUUCGGUGUCAUCGCUCGGUGUUAGUAUUGCGGAUAGUGUAACUAUGGUCUUGUUGGAUGUUCUUCCUCGUCUUGCAUGCUAUUUUGCACACGAAAUAACACGCAAGAUGGGAAUGAAAAUCUGAUAAGUCGCGUUAU